GAUUUCAAUUGAAAAAGUCAUCAACAACAAAGUUGAAUAACUCAUCAAGAUCUAAAACUUUUAUUUUUGUUAUUUCUUCAUCCGACGAAAUGUUAGUAAUAUUAUUCACAAAAUUUACAUAUAUGUGUUAUAGUUUAUAAAACCAGAUAAGAGAUAUGUCAAUUUUGUGAACAAUGUUACUAUCACUUUGUCGUAUGAAGAAAUGAUUAAAAUAAAAGUUUUAGAUCUUGACGAGUUAUCCAACUUUGUUGUUGAUGACUUUUUCAGUUGAUAUC
Molecule: microRNA precursor, 275 nt
Filed under: Oryza sativa Japonica Group (Japanese rice)
Lineage: Eukaryota; Viridiplantae; Streptophyta; Magnoliopsida; Poales; Poaceae
Description: MIR821 microRNA precursor family
Rfam family: MIR821 microRNA precursor family
Source: Rfam by way of RNAcentral